AAUCCAUGAUGUGGGCAUUGUUGCAAGAGUCCUUUGAAUUUGUCUCAUGCUCGAAUAAGGAUUCUCCAUCAUUUUACAUAAAGCUUGUGAUGAGGUGUCUCAAGUGU
This is a small nucleolar RNA of Zingiber officinale, 107 nucleotides long. NCBI's taxonomy places the organism in Eukaryota, Viridiplantae, Streptophyta, Magnoliopsida, Zingiberales, Zingiberaceae. The record is from RefSeq and is a predicted model, not a curated record.